This 468-nucleotide ribosomal RNA is filed under the name uncultured bacterium. Its description in RNAcentral is "partial 16S ribosomal RNA". It matches the Rfam family "Bacterial small subunit ribosomal RNA", at positions 28 to 507 of the family's 1533-position model. The record is from RNAcentral.
GACGAACGCUGGCGGCGUGCUUAACACAUGCAAGUCGAACGGACAGGCCCUGCUUUUGUGUGUUUCUCGAUUGCCGAAGGGGUGAGUAACACGUGUGUAACCUGUCCUUGUCUUUGGGAUAUCUUUACGAAACUGGGGCUCUUACCGGAUAUGAUCUCUUGCUGCGCGUUGUUCAAUGGAGAGUUUCGGCGUUUGGGGAUGUUCUCGCUGCUUAUCCGCUGCAUGGUGUGGUAGUGGCUUACCAAGGCUGUGACGGGUAGGCGGCCUGAGAGGGUGAACGGCCACCAUGGGACUGAGGUACGGCGCAGAAGCCUACGGGAGGCAGCAGGGGGGAAUAUGACAGAGUGGGCGGAAGCCUGAUGCAGCAACGCCGCGUGCGGGAUGACGGCCUUCGAGUUGUAAACCGCUUUCGCAGGUGACGAAGAGUGAGUGACGGUAAUGGGUAAAGAAGCACCGGCUAACUACGUG